Non-coding RNA from Paramuricea clavata, 293 nucleotides. The record is from the annotation of a GenBank genome assembly. Lineage: Eukaryota; Metazoa; Cnidaria; Anthozoa; Malacalcyonacea; Plexauridae.
GUUUAAGUUCAAAAUUUGAGCAUCGUAGCUGCAAUGGUUUUUGAGAUAUCGCAAUUCGAAAUAUGGCCCGAAAAGCAAAAAAGUGGGUGUGGCCAGUGCUAAAUUCACCAUUACCCUAUUUUACCUUUUGACCUGUAACUUCAUACCUGUACAUGGUAUAUCCAUCAAAAUUUGCACAAAGAUGUAUUUGUAUGCGGAGAUUUCAAAUAUUGCACCUUCAUCUUUGUAUCUGCAACCAGUAAUGUGUUAUGGCACAGCAAAAAGUCUAAUUAUGUGUUAAAAAGAGAAGGGGG